RNAcentral lists this unclassified non-coding RNA (452 nucleotides) under Pleurophora saccocarpa. Its description in RNAcentral is "partial external transcribed spacer". Lineage: Eukaryota; Viridiplantae; Streptophyta; Magnoliopsida; Myrtales; Lythraceae. The record is from RNAcentral.
UUUAUCUUUGAAACAGCAUAUGACUACUGGCAGGAUCAACCAGGUAGCAUCCAUUGACGACGUCCAUGCCGUCGCGUGGGACAUGAAGUGACAUGAUGAGUUCCCCAGCGAGUCGUUCGAUUGAAUUUGCUACAUUGGAGCCAUGCCAUGAGGCCACAAGAGGCUUUUACACCCGCAUGCCAUUGAUACGUUCCGCAUCCCAGAGAUCGAAUUAGCACCCCAUGGACCAUCGCCACCAUUCUACGAAUGAGGAUGGCAAGCGUGGGUCAUGGAGGCAACUUUCUUGUCCGUCCGCUGCACACCUUUUGGUCGCAGCCGACGGAUGAAACGAUAGCAUGACACUGAGUUCCGCAAACGCGGUACACAGCACAGGAACCAGCAAGCGUUCCACGCAUCAAGAGCAUGGGACAUGCAAUGAGGAGUUGCUGAGCCAGCCCGCCUGUGCGCAGAAC